This is a long non-coding RNA of Homo sapiens (human), 1217 nucleotides long. Ensembl annotates it as mir-100-let-7a-2-mir-125b-1 cluster host gene. Its record names the gene MIR100HG. The record is from Ensembl. NCBI's taxonomy places the organism in Eukaryota, Metazoa, Chordata, Mammalia, Primates, Hominidae.
GUUGCCUUUGAAUGGGACCCUUGAUACAAGGCUUUCAUAGACCAGCCGGUGCUGAUGGGGUCCGGGACUUGACGAUGGCGCCUGCUCGUUCCUGUUGUGUUCUAUCUGAGGCAUGAUUUUCUUUCGUUUUUGGGAGGUAGAGAGCACGGGGCAGAGGUUGCACCUGACACAUUAGAACUCCGUUGUCACUGCUGUGGCUGUUAUUCCCCUCGGCAAGAGCCAAGGAGCAAACAGGACGGCAAAGAUGGGCUGUCUGGAAAGCUGGACUCAGCCUGGAGCAUGUUCCCCAGAUUGCUAUUUUGUGAAGGCUUCCGCAUACAAAUGACUCAGAUCCAAACAUUCAAAAAUGAUCUUGGAGGGCCAUCUGGUUCUUGCUGGUUCUAAAAGCUUCCUUCAGCCUGGAGUAUGGAUCCAGUACAAAAGAUAGUGAGAGCUGUUCAUUGAGGUUUAACAUGUUCCACUGACCGAGGCUAGAAGCUGGCUUUAAAAAAUAGCCAACACUGAUGCUCCAAGGGCCAAUUGCUGAUGCUUGUCACAGUGAAGAUCCCGGUGUUACACAUCCAAUCGUUCACCUCCUUCCAAGACUAUGACAUUCCAGGAAACCUUCACUGCUAAGAGGAACUAAGAUCUAGAGUAUCUCCUCGAGGAAGUACAACUGGUAAUUAAUAAGAAGUCCAGUGGCUCACACCUGCGAUCCCAGCACUUUGGGAGGCUGAGAUGGGCAGAUUGCUCGAGCCCAGGAAUUCAAGACCAACCUGGGCAACAUGGCAAAACCCCAUCUCUACAAAAAUACAAAAAUUAACCAGAUGUGAUGGUUCAUGCCUGUAGUCCCAGCUACUCUGGAGGCUGAUGUGGGAGGAUCGCUUGAGCCUAGGAAGUCAAGGCUGCAGUGAGUCAUGAUUGCUCCGCUCCACUGCACUCUGGCCUUGAUGAUAGAGUGAGAACCAGUCUCAAAAAAAAAAAGGUCAUUUUCUAAGCAUUUGUUGAUUCAAUACUGCCCACUAUGUACACUGACAAUUAGACAUAAUUUAAUUUCAGCUCAUGGUAUGAAUGGAGACAAAAUGAAAUCAUUUUAAUGCACAUUAAGGCAAUAUAGUGCCCUUAAAUAAAAAGUUGAAGUUCAUAAGGGACCAUCAUUAAGAUUUAACUUUGUAACAAAUAUUUUGUUUUUGUUUGUUUUAUUUUUAGAUUUGCAUAAUAAAACAUUCAUAUUCUUA